UCAUCAUGUAAUGUUUGCGUAUGGGAGUGGAAGAAUCGUUUAUGCUCGAAGGAGAUCAUUAAGCUUGGAGGUGUGAGGUUAAAAGAUCAUUAAAGGUUUCCAUUUAUGAUAUACCAUAUACUAAUGUAUGCCAGAGAGGAGUAUAUGAGCAAUAAAACCUUUCGAAAGUAAAAACGAUUCUGAGGAGAUAAGCCAUAUGUUAAGAAAUACGCAAGGAGAGAGAGGAGGAAACGCAGCGGCAGAGGAUGCGAGAAGAAUGGAGUUUGAUGCUGGAGCGUCAUCAUUGCCUAGUGACUCUCCUAGCAACAGGAAACAUCUGUUUCAGCGUCGACCAAUCAGGAGCCGGUGCAGUCUGUUAUUGCCCGCUGCACAGAAAGGGGAUAUUUUAAGAGCCGAGAGUGAGCCGAAUACUACAGGGAUUAUAUCAAAAGCAAGACUUCGACAUCUGGGGGCGAAGCGUUAAGCGCACGCCGAGCUGAAAGCGGCUACAUUCGGCACAGUAUGAGCGGUUUUGAGCCUCUGGUUUGAUGAAUAACGCGUGUGCGGGGACUGUUAAUGUGGCUUUAUAAAUAAGGAACCAUUAGGCAAUGUGUGUGAGCCAGAGAAAAGAGCCUCAGGUGAAUAGAGGAUUUGUCAGAGAGGUGUGUGAGUGUGUCUGCGUGAAGCAGUCCUUAGGGUCUUUCCUCUAAGAGUGCCCUCAACAGUCAACAACGUCGAAAGUCGCCUACUUUAAGCGAAAAUAUGCGGAAGAGGAGGAUGUUCAGGGAAGCCUACAUGGAUAUUUACAAAAACACCUGAUCCUGCGUGAGGAGCGCAGCUGCAUCCUGCGCCUGUCUCUGCAGAAGCUGCGUUUCCUAGACGACCCCGAGGCUUACCUCCGCCGCUCCGUUCUCAUCAACAACCUGCUACGCAAGAUCCACCUGGACGAAGCCCAAAGGGACAGAGAGAAACAGAGGGAUGACAAGGAAGAGGAGGAGGAGACGGAGAGGAGGCGGAAGAGACUGAAGGUGGUGCUCCAGGAGUUCCAGCAGUACAAGCUGCUGCCGUAUUCAUCCUCCCCAGCCUCAUGCAUCUGUGGCCUGGGCAGCUGCCACACCCUGCCCCCUGACCAUGGAGCUUCAGUGCUGCUCUACCAUUUGGAUGAUAAAAGAUAAGAUGUCAUCGGAUACAUGCAGGGGAUUUUUCCAACUGUCUGUGACUGAUUUCCAGGAGCCAGCAUUGAGGAAGGAAGGAAUUCGGGUUUGUGUGCAUUUGUGCUUGUGCUGGUAGCGUGAGCUCUGCGGUUUGUGAUGUGACAGGUGUCUGUCCAUAUCAGGGUGUGUUUUUCCAACUGGAAGAAGACAUCAUCUUGUUAUCACUGCCUCGCUCUGUUGAUAUGAACUUUGACCACAGACAUUUUGUUUUCAUAAAUAUGCUUGAGUGAGCUAUAACCUUAAGCACUGUUUUCAGGGAUAAAAAAGGCAAACGAAAAGCCAUGCACCUUGUGGUUGUUAUAUUAUGUUGUAAGAAAAAAAAAGGGCAAAAAAUUUAAAUUGUCAGUGUCAAAGUCCCGGCUGCUCCUAAGAAUGGAGUGAUUUUACAAAAGCUUUGUUGCUGUGAAAUGGACUUUUUUGUGUAAGUGGCUACUGAUGUCAAACUAGUAAUGAUUUUUUAAAAGAAGUUUCCAUACCUUUAACAAAAUAAAUAAAUAAAAGAAAAUAGGAAAAUGUAUGAGGGCAAAUGAGAAAUGAAAAUAACAUUUUCAAAAGCCUUCUGUUUUUUUUUUUGUUUUUUUUGGUUUAAACAGGGUCUCGCUUUCAGCAAAAAAGGUACAAAAUUGUCACCAUAUCACGGAGUACCCUUUCAAAAUUUAUUAAAAUGUAAUUUUAAGGUACUUUUUAAGUGCUAAUAUGCAUAUUUAAGAUACUAUCGUGUAUCAUUUGGGGAAAACAGUGUACAAAGAUGUACCUUUUAGCUUUUGUGCCUUAGAGCACCACUCAAAUGACAGAUUUGUACCUUUUUUUUGAGAGUGUAGUGACUUGCAACUUUCACGAUGUAAAAACAUUUACUGCAUUUGCUACUUGUGUUUCAUUGCAUACAGCCUUUUAAGGCUUUUUGGCAGAAACUGUUAUGUUAAGGUAACUCUGCCAUCUAGUGUUAUGGCGAUGAAUUCUCAGCUACAUAGACCUCUUUGGUUCAUUCAUUUAAUCAACUGUACUACCUGCAGUUUGUAAUGCUGUUUUACACUCAUUUGUCCCUAUAGGUUGUCUGUCCAGUUUGUCUGGCCAGUAUAUUAAAUUUCUGGCUCUAUAUUCUUUGGAUCUGAAAACCCUAGCUAUUUGGGUGUCAGAAUAUCUCACAACAAUGGCCUUCAUUCACUGCACAGACCUACAGUUUAUAACUAACAGGGAAAACAAGGUGUACAUGCUUAAUGUAGUGUAAAAUCCGCCAUUCUCUCUUACACAGAACCUCAGAUGAUCCUGUUCUUGUCUCAUAUCGCUGUGCAUGUCUCUCAUAUGUUGGUUACAUAGAGUUUUCUAACAGGCAAAGUUGUGCAAAAAUAUUUUGGUACGGUUAAUAAUGACUGGUACUCUUACUGUUAAUAUUUUGCGUGUUUGUUUAUGCACAUUUGUAUGUGUGUUGUACUUUUUUCAAUAUCUGAAUGUAAUUUACUGAAAUCUAUAUUCAGAGUGCUAUCUUUUGGACAUUUCAAAGCAUAGACAUGGAUAUCCAGUUUAUUUUGAAAUGGAGCUAUUUUUUGUUUCAAGAAGAACCACUGUUCCUCAGAGAAUUUAGUGCUAUUUUGCCAAAAGAUUUAAAAGUAGCAUACGAGAAUUGUCUAUUUUCAUGCCACUGCAGUCAAAUAAAAUAUAAUACUGAAUGUUUC
Labeo rohita (rohu) is the source of this 2866-nucleotide long non-coding RNA. RefSeq lists it as uncharacterized. The record is from RefSeq and is a predicted model, not a curated record. The transcript is spliced from 4 exons. NCBI's taxonomy places the organism in Eukaryota, Metazoa, Chordata, Actinopteri, Cypriniformes, Cyprinidae.